CCUACGGGUGGCAGCAGUGGGGAAUAUUGCACAAUGGGGGAAACCCUGAUGCAGCGACGCCGCGUGAGCGAUGAAGUUUUUCGGAUUGUAAACUUCUAUCAGUAGCGAAGAUGAUGACGGUAUCUGACUAAUACGCCCCGGCUAACUCCGUGCCAGCCGCCGCGGUAAUACGUAGGGGGCAAGCGUUAUCCGGAUUUACUGGGGGUAAAGAGAGCGUAGACGGGGUUGCAAGUCAGAUGUGAAAUCCUCGGGCUCAACCCCGGAACUGCAUUUGAAACUGUGAGGCUGGAGUGUGGGAGAGGUAGGCGGAAUUCUUGGUGGAGCGGUAAAAUGCGUAGAGAUUAAGAGGAACACCAGUGGCGAAGGCGACCUGCUAGACGAUAACUGACGUUGAGGCGCGAAAGCGUGGGGAGCAAACAGGAUUAGAUACCCUUGUAGUC
RNAcentral lists this ribosomal RNA (440 nucleotides) under uncultured bacterium. RNAcentral describes it as "partial 16S ribosomal RNA". It matches the Rfam family "Bacterial small subunit ribosomal RNA", at positions 338 to 795 of the family's 1533-position model. The record is from RNAcentral.